CAAGACCUUGCGCUUUUGGAGCGGCCGAUGCCUGAUUAGCUAGUUGGUGGSGURAAGSCCUACCAAGGCGUCSNUCAGUAGUUGGUCUGAGAGGACGACCAGCCACACUGGGACUGAGACACGGCCCAGACUCCUACGGGAGGCAGCAGUGGGGARUUUUGGACAAUGGGCGCAGGCCUGAUCCAGCAAUGCCGCGUGAGUGAAGAAGGCCUUCGGGUUGUAAAGCUCUUUCAGUCGAGAAGAAAAGAUUACGACUVAUAAUCGUAAUUCAUGACGGUACCGACAGAAGRAGCRCCGGCUAACUACGUGCCAGCAGCCGCGGUAAUACGUAGGGUGCGAGCGUUAAUCGGAAUUACUGGGCGUAAAGGGUGCGCAGGCGGCUUUGUAAGUCAGAUGUGAAAUCCCCGGGCUUAACCUGGGAACU
Molecule: ribosomal RNA, 424 nt
Filed under: uncultured bacterium
Lineage: Bacteria
Description: partial 16S ribosomal RNA
Rfam family: Bacterial small subunit ribosomal RNA
Source: RNAcentral